RNAcentral lists this long non-coding RNA (221 nucleotides) under Elaeis guineensis (African oil palm). RNAcentral's name for it is "long non-coding RNA (EGUI_LNC027860)". The record is from RNAcentral. Lineage: Eukaryota; Viridiplantae; Streptophyta; Magnoliopsida; Arecales; Arecaceae.
GACCGACUUCAAUUUUAUUUCCUCAAUCUCUAACCUUUUUUAUUCCAACCUCUCACCUCUUCCUCUCUAUUUUUCAUUCUUUUAUCAAGAAAGGAGGCAAGAAGAAGAUGCAUAGACACAUUAAUACCAACUACUUUUUUAUUUUUUAUGUUUUUAUACUUUUUCCUCUUGUUACCUCUUGAUUUGGUUUUGAUUUGCUUCAUCUACUACAUUGUGGUGUG